This 459-nucleotide ribosomal RNA is filed under the name uncultured bacterium. RNAcentral's name for it is "partial 16S ribosomal RNA". It matches the Rfam family "Bacterial small subunit ribosomal RNA", at positions 338 to 795 of the family's 1533-position model. The record is from RNAcentral.
CCUACGGGUGGCAGCAGUGAGGAAUAUUGGUCAAUGGUCGGGAGACUGAACCAGCCAAGCCGCGUGAGGGAUGAAGGUACAGAGUAUCGUAAACCUCUUUUGUCAGGGAACAAAGGCGGGGACGUGUCCCCGGAUGAGUGUACCUGAAGAAAAAGCAUCGGCUAACUCCGUGCCAGCAGCCGCGGUAAUACGGAGGAUGCGAGCGUUAUCCGGAUUUAUUGGGUUUAAAGGGUGCGAAGGCGGUCUGUUAAGUCAGCGGUAAAAGCCCGGGGCUCAACCGCGGCCCGCCGUUGAAACUGGCAGUCUCGAGUUGGAGAGAAGUAUGCGGAAUGCGCGGUGUAGCGGUGAAAUGCAUAGAUAUCGCGCAGAACUCCGAUUGCGAAGGCAGCAUGCCGGCUCCACACUGACGCUGAGGCACGAAAGCGUGGGUAUCGAACAGGAUUAGAUACCCUUGUAGUC